GCAGACACAUUCCAGCCAAUCAGCAGCAGACCCUCCCUCCCAUACCCUCCCACCUCCUGGACAGCUCACUAAGAAUGCAGCUUCAAAAUGGAUGCUGUCCAGGAGGUGGGAGGGUCUGGGAGGGAGGGUCUGCUGCUGAUUGGCUGGAAUGUGUCU
This 156-nucleotide microRNA precursor is filed under the name Pelobates cultripes (western spadefoot toad). The record is from RNAcentral. Lineage: Eukaryota; Metazoa; Chordata; Amphibia; Anura; Pelobatidae.